AAAUUAUUCCACAUCGUGUUUGUGAAGGCAAAGUGGUAUCUGUGGUGCAAUACUGAAUAAGAUAAAGUAUGACAAGACCUACCAUAGGUACCCUAUCUAUUAAUACGUUCCUAUUGACAAGCAUAAUCCAGGGACUAGCGCUAGGUAGACACCCUAUUUAUUAAAACAUACCCGAUGACAAGCAUGAUUCAGUGACGGUAUACAUCGUAGCUGUAUGUCGCCGCACCGAGGAGCUCCCUUACAACGCAAUACCUACUUCCUUUCCCAUCCUCAACAUCUCUCCAGGGAUUUGGAUCUGCAACAACUGCCGGAUAUGCAGCGCCUGAUCACGUCUUCGCGAAUUCCUUAUAUGCAAGUUCGCUGUUUAGAACGAGGAGCGUAAAGAACUUCUUCAGUGAUUACAAGGAAUCAAGUUUUCCAAUGACUGUUUGAGCAACGCUGAUACGCAACCCGUAUUUAUCGAAGGAGCGCAAAAAACUCGUCUUCGUGACCCUAAGGCUUCGAAGUUUCACGAUUUCCCCGCAAGGUGGCAGCAGCAGCCGUCACGCUGACCUCGACCUCCUGUGAUUAGAAAUUUUAGCUAACGCAAUAGCAGUAAGAACGAAAUAGAAAAUGGAUAGCAUAGUCAGGCGAUAUCAUCAUGAACUGCUGCAAUAUAUAACUUGAAGUGAAACUGUUCAAGGGCGGGGGGAAACGACGAAGGAAGCAUGUCAUGUAGAAGAAAAAAAGGGAAACUGACGGUAGAAUCUCGACACAGGAGAGAGUAAUGGAAAACAACGGAUAUGGACAUAUGUUGCAGUGAUAAGAAAAUUGACGACAGAGAACUGAAAUCAGAAUCGUAUGUUAGCUGUGAAGAGGAGGCGGACCCGCGCAGAGUAUAUUCGCGCCAUAAUAUUUACGCAAAUUACACGUUUUACAGUAAUAGCAAAGAGUUUAUUCACAUCAUAAUCACGGAGUAUAUUCGCGUCAUAGUCAUUGGACAAAAUACAUUCAAAACAUAAUAACUAACGUCUUGUAUAUCACGUCAUUGAGUUCUGCUAUUUAUUUAACAAACACACACACACACACACACACACACACACACACACACACACACACACACACACACACAUACACUCAGAGCCAAAGUAAUGGAUAUUUACUGAAAUUCAUUGCACGUAGUCAUCAAAAAGGUCUAUAAUUUUCCAUGCAACUUUGUCACGUGAAUACUUGUUAAUUACAUUCAAUUCAUCCAUACAUUUGAUUGAAAAAGCAUUGUCAGCUUCAUCAACAGCCAGUUCAAACCUUUACAGUCAGAAUCAUCAUAAUUAUAAUAAAUAUAAAUGAGUAAUUAUGUGAUGGAAUAAUAUGGAUGAUAAUGAUAACAACAACUGCAAAACUAUAAGGC
Molecule: long non-coding RNA, 1387 nt
Organism: Penaeus chinensis
Lineage: Eukaryota; Metazoa; Arthropoda; Malacostraca; Decapoda; Penaeidae
Exons: 4
Source: RefSeq, a predicted model, not a curated record